GACGAACCGUGCGAACGUUGUUCGGAAUCACUGGGCUUAAAGGGCGCGUAGGCGGGCAAGCAAGUCCGGGGUGAAAGCCCCCAGCUCAACUGGGGAAGUGCCUUGGAAACUGCUUGUCUAGAGGGAGGUAGGGGCAUGUGGAACUUCGGGUGGAGCGGUGAAAUGCGUUGAUAUCCGAAGGAACGCCGGUGGCGAAAGCGACGUGCUGGAUCUCUUCUGACGCUGAGGCGCGAAAGCUAGGGUAGCGAACGGG
Molecule: ribosomal RNA, 253 nt
Filed under: uncultured bacterium
Lineage: Bacteria
Description: partial 16S ribosomal RNA
Rfam family: Bacterial small subunit ribosomal RNA
Source: RNAcentral